AUUGAACGCUGGCGGCAUGCCUUACACAUGCCAGUCGAACGGUAACAGGUUAAGCUGACGAGUGGCGAACGGGUGAGUAAUGUAUCGGAACGUGCCCAGUCGUGGGGGAUAACUGCUCGAAAGAGCAGCUAAUACCGCAUACGACCUGGGGGUGAAAGCGGGGGAUCGCAAGACCUCGCGCGAUUGGAGCGGCCGAUAUCAGAUUAGGUAGUUGGUGAGGUAAAGGCUCACCAAGCCGACGAUCUGUAGCUGGUCUGAGAGGACGACCAGCCACACUGGGACUGAGACACGGCCCAGACUCCUACGGGAGGCAGCAGUGGGGAAUUUUGGACAAUGGGCGCAAGCCUGAUCCAGCCAUGCCGCGUGCGGGAAGAAGGCCUUCGGGUUGUAAACCGCUUUUGUCAGGGAAGAAAAGGUUCUGGCUAAUACCUGGGACUCAUGACGGUACCUGAAGAAUAAGCACCGGCUAACUACGUG
RNAcentral lists this ribosomal RNA (477 nucleotides) under uncultured bacterium. RNAcentral describes it as "partial 16S ribosomal RNA". It matches the Rfam family "Bacterial small subunit ribosomal RNA", at positions 30 to 507 of the family's 1533-position model. The record is from RNAcentral.